GUGCCAGCCGCCGCGGUAACACGAAGGGGGCUAGCGUUGCUCGGAAUUACUGGGCGUAAAGGGCGCGUAGGCGGACAGUUUAGUCAGAGGUGAAAGCCCAGGGCUCAACAUUGGAAUAGCCUUUGAUACUGGCUGUCUUGAGUGCGGGAGAGGUGUGUGGAACUCCGAGUGUAGAGGUGAAAUUCGUAGAUAUUCGGAAGAACACCAGUGGCGAAGGCGACACACUGGCCCGUUACUGACGCUGAGGCGCGAAAGCGUGGGGAGCAAACAGGAUUAGAUACCCUGGUAGUCCACGCUGUAAACGAUGAGUGCUAGUUGUCGGCAUGCAUGCAUGUCGGUGACGCAGCUAACGCAUUAAGCACUCCGCCUGGGGAGUACGGUCGCAAGAUUAAAACUUAAAUGAAUUGGCGGGG
This 413-nucleotide ribosomal RNA is filed under the name uncultured prokaryote. Its description in RNAcentral is "bacterial SSU rRNA". It matches the Rfam family "Bacterial small subunit ribosomal RNA", at positions 505 to 918 of the family's 1533-position model. The record is from RNAcentral.